AUCUACAGCCAUGCUACCCUGAACAAACGCGAUCCCAUCUGAUCUUGGAAGCUAAGCAGGGUUGGGCCUGGUUAGUACUUGGAUGGGAGACCACCUAGGAAGACGAGGUGCUGUAGGCG
Non-coding RNA from Pteropus alecto (black flying fox), 119 nucleotides. Lineage: Eukaryota; Metazoa; Chordata; Mammalia; Chiroptera; Pteropodidae. The record is from Rfam.